This 497-nucleotide ribosomal RNA is filed under the name uncultured bacterium. RNAcentral's name for it is "partial 16S ribosomal RNA". It matches the Rfam family "Bacterial small subunit ribosomal RNA", at positions 28 to 507 of the family's 1533-position model. The record is from RNAcentral.
GAUGAACGCUGGCGGCGUGCCUAAUACAUGCAAGUCGAGCGAACGGACGAGAAGUUUGCUUCUCUGAUGUUAGCGGCGGACGGGUGAGUAACAUGUGGAUAACCUACCUAUAAGACUGGGAUAACCUCGCGAAACAGGAGCUAAUACCGGAUAAUAUUUUGAACCGCAUGGUUCAAAAGUGAAAUACGGUCUUGCUGUCACUUAUAGAUGGAUCCGGGCUGCAUUAGCUAGUUGGGAAGGUAACGGCUUACCAAGGCAACGAUGCAUAGCCGACCUGAGAGGGUGAUCGGCCACACUGGAACUGAGACACGGUCCAGACUCCUACGGGAAGCAGCAGUAGGGAAUCUUCCGCAAUGGGGGAAAGCCUGACGGAGCAACGCGGCGUGAGUGAUGAAGCUCUUCGGAUCGUAAAACUCUGUUAUUAGGGAAGAACAUAUGUGUAAGUAACUGUGCAGAUCUUGACGGUACCGAAAGAGAAAGCCACGGCUAACUACGUG